GGUCGUUUUUCUUCUUUUAAAUAUAGUCUCCUCCUUUACUGUGUUGAUUCCCUUUAUAUAUUUAAAUGUUUCUAUCAUAUCCCCCCGUCUCGUCUUUCCUCCAAGCUAUACAUGUUAAGAUCCUUUAACCUUUCCUGGUAAGUUUUAUCCUGCAAUUCAUGAACCAGUUUAGUAGCCCUUCUCUGAACUCUCUCUAAAGUAUUAAUAUCCUUCUGGAGAUACGGUCUCCAGUACUGUGUAAAAUACUCCAAGUGAGGUCUCAC
Pelobates cultripes (western spadefoot toad) is the source of this 263-nucleotide non-coding RNA. The record is from the annotation of a GenBank genome assembly. Lineage: Eukaryota; Metazoa; Chordata; Amphibia; Anura; Pelobatidae.